This 319-nucleotide ribosomal RNA is filed under the name Listeria monocytogenes. Its description in RNAcentral is "partial 23S ribosomal RNA". It matches the Rfam family "Bacterial large subunit ribosomal RNA", at positions 1 to 312 of the family's 2925-position model. The record is from RNAcentral. Lineage: Bacteria; Bacillati; Bacillota; Bacilli; Caryophanales; Listeriaceae.
AGUAAAUUGGUUAAGUUAGAAAGGGCGCACGGUGGAUGCCUUGGCACUAGGAGCCGAAGAAGGACGGGACUAACACCGAUAUGCUUUGGGGAGCUGUACGUAAGCGUUGAUCCAGAGAUUUCCGAAUGGGGGAACCCACUAUCUUUAGUCGGAUAGUAUCCUUACGUGAAUACAUAGCGUGAGGAAGGCAGACCCAGGGAACUGAAACAUCUAAGUACCUGGAGGAAGAGAAAGAAAAAUCGAUUUCCUGAGUAGCGGCGAGCGAAACGGAAAGAGCCCAAACCAAGAAGCUUGCUUCUUGGGGUUGUAGGACACUCUA